GAGGUAUACACAUAGUUUUAGGGCAAUCAUUAUCAUUAUAACACUUAUGAAAGUGAUUAUAUUCUGUGAUGUAAAAUAAGAAGAAAAAAAAUUAAUGUUAAUAAUAGAGAAUGAAAUAUAUAAAGAAAAAUUGAAGAUAAAAAAAAAAAUCUUACCAGGGAGGCCUUCGAUUACAAUGGUAAACAUAAAAAGAAAAGCAAACAUGAUUUGAAAAAACCUGAGAGUUUUAGCCAUAAUUUGCUUUGUUUGUGUGUAAAAUUUGAAAAUUGUAUGAUCACUUUAUAGUGUGAAAACCCCAAAUUUUUUUUUAGUAAUAAAUACUCAAUUAUUGAAAUUAGAAUUGUC
RNAcentral lists this long non-coding RNA (345 nucleotides) under Trifolium pratense (red clover). RNAcentral's name for it is "long non-coding RNA (TPRA_LNC014175)". Lineage: Eukaryota; Viridiplantae; Streptophyta; Magnoliopsida; Fabales; Fabaceae. The record is from RNAcentral.